This 253-nucleotide ribosomal RNA is filed under the name uncultured bacterium. RNAcentral's name for it is "partial 16S ribosomal RNA". It matches the Rfam family "Bacterial small subunit ribosomal RNA", at positions 524 to 776 of the family's 1533-position model. The record is from RNAcentral.
UACGUAGGUGGCAAGCGUUGUUCGGAAUUAUUGGGCGUAAAGGGCGCGUAGGCGGUUUGUUAAGUCGGCUGUGAAAGCCCGGGGCUCAACCCCGGAGGGUCAGCCGAUACUGGCAGACUAGAGUACGGAAGAGGUAGCUGGAAUUCCCGGUGUAGCGGUGAAAUGCGUAGAUAUCAGGAGGAAUACCGAUGGCGAAGGCAGGUCUCUGGGCUAACACUGACGCUCAUGCACGAAAGCGUGGGGAGCAAACAGG